Molecule: ribosomal RNA, 492 nt
Filed under: uncultured bacterium
Lineage: Bacteria
Description: partial 16S ribosomal RNA
Rfam family: Bacterial small subunit ribosomal RNA
Source: RNAcentral
AGUGAACGCUGGCGGUAGGCCUAACACAUGCAAGUCGAACGGCAGCACAGUAAGAGCUUGCUCUUACGGGUGGCGAGUGGCAGACGGGUGAGGAAUACAUCGGAAUCUACUUUUUCGUGGGGGAUAACGUAGGGAAACUUACGCUAAUACCGCAUACGACCUACGGGUGAAAGCAGGGGAUCUUCGGACCUUUCGCGAUUGAAUGAGCCGAUGUCGGAUUAGCUAGUUGGCGGGGUAAAGGCCCACCAAGGCGACGAUCCGUAGCUGGUCUGAGAGGAUGAUCAGCCACACUGGAACUGAGACACGGUCCAGACUCCUACGGGAGGCAGCAGUGGGGAAUAUUGGACAAAGGGCGCAAGCCUGAUCCAGCCAUACCGCGUGGGUGAAGAAGGCCUUCGGGUUGUAAAGCCCUUUUGUUGGGAAAGAAAAGCAGCAGGUUAAUACCCCGCUGUUCUGACGGUACCCAAAGAAUAAGCACCGGCUAACUUCGUG